Long non-coding RNA from Rhincodon typus (whale shark), 638 nucleotides. RefSeq lists it as uncharacterized. The transcript has 3 exons. The record is from RefSeq and is a predicted model, not a curated record. NCBI's taxonomy places the organism in Eukaryota, Metazoa, Chordata, Chondrichthyes, Orectolobiformes, Rhincodontidae.
UUUAAAUAGUAUCUUAUUUGGCUCUGAACUACUGUAUUUAAAAGUAGGAUAGCUUCUGUAACACACAUUUAAUCUCAAAAGGGGAUUUGGUUCUGAAAUUUGUAAAUUCUACACUAUAAUUUUGGAGUACUGUGAUGCAACAUAGUGAGAUAGGUGCUUGGCAAGUGGAACACCUCAUUGACCAUUAGAUUCACUUUGCACUUUUAAGAAAGCAGAUGGAAUCUAAGAGAACCAGAACGUAGCAGCCUUGUCUGAAGCUGGUAACUGGGCAAGCCUGGAGCAUUGUUACAAGCUGGUGCAGACCAGGCAACCUGAAGACUGGUCGAAGUGGCAGAUGAGAGCCUUGGAGGCAGCACACCAUCUGGAGCUGUCGCGAAGCGAGGAAGAAUUAGAGCAGAGAAAACUGCAGAGAACAUAUGCUGAACGGAUUCAAAAUGCUCCUCAAACCAAUCCUGGGGAUCACCAGGAAUGCUAUUCUGUCAGAAACAUUCGAAGACCUUUGCUGCUAAAUUGCUUGUAUGCAAAUUUCAUAAUGGUGCUGCUAAAAUGAUAAUUAGAUUCAAAAAGCAGAAAAAUAUAUGCAUAUUAAAGAUAGCACUUCACUAAACAAAGCUUUUUCUAUCAUAAUAAAAAUUGCA